Molecule: ribosomal RNA, 255 nt
Filed under: uncultured bacterium
Lineage: Bacteria
Description: partial 16S ribosomal RNA
Rfam family: Bacterial small subunit ribosomal RNA
Source: RNAcentral
UACGUAGGGCGCAAGCGUUGUCCGGAAUUAUUGGGCGUAAAGAGCUCGUAGGCGGUUCGUCACGUCGGCUGUGAAAACCUGAGGCUCAACCUCAGGCCUGCAGUCGAUACGGGCGGACUUGAGUACUGCAGGGGAGACUGGAAUUCCUGGUGUAGCGGUGAAAUGCGCAGAUAUCAGGAGGAACACCGGUGGCGAAGGCGGGUCUCUGGGCCGGUACCGACGCUGGAGGAGCGAAAGCGUUGGGGAGCGAACAGG